Molecule: long non-coding RNA, 407 nt
Filed under: Nicotiana benthamiana
Lineage: Eukaryota; Viridiplantae; Streptophyta; Magnoliopsida; Solanales; Solanaceae
Description: long non-coding RNA (NBEN_LNC017433)
Source: RNAcentral
UACAUUUUUUCUAACAAGUAAAUUAGUAAAGUGGUAAUUUCAAAUGUUUUGCAUCGCCCUAGCAAGUUCAUCAUAAUCAAUAUGAACCGAUUGACCUUCUUCUGGCGUGUUAAAUUCGGAUGUGUUUCCAUGCGUUAAUAUAUCUCCAAGUUCUUCGUCUUCUGGGCUAUCAAGAUCUUCCUUUCCUUGAUUUCUUCGUUCCGAUCUAAUCCAAACUCUUAAAUCGAUUGACCUUCUCCUGGCGUGUUAAAUUUGGAUGGGUUUCCAUGGGUUAAUAUAUCUCUAAGUUCCUCGUCUUCUGGGCUAUCAACAUCUUCAUUUCCUUGAUUUCUUCGUUCCGAUCUAAUCCAAUCUCUGAAACAUACUAAAACUUCCAAAGCAUUGCUUCCCAAUGAGUGGCGGGUGUC